CAGAGUUAAGAAAUAAUUUCUAAUGACAUCCUUGCCAGGUCAAACAUUGUCAAACUUUUAUUAUAGUCAAAUCAUUUAAGGUAGAUGGGGGUCUAAAUCAAAAUCCAUAGAAUCUUUUAAUACCUUGUCAAAAUGGAAUUAAUGUCAUGCUUUUUCCAAAAAAAUAUGAUACAAAAGACGGGACUCACAGGGCUUAUUUUUUUGCGCUUAACAGCCUACCGAUUGUGUUUAAUUGUCAGUUUGUAUAGAUUAUGCAUGCAAAAUUUAAUUUUGUGUGAUAAAAAAUUAAAGUACACCAUAGAAUUUAAAGAUAAAAUAUGUGAAGAUAGCUCUUUUCAUAGAUGCCAACCCCCUAUUGACAUAAUCAGUAACAAACUAUCAAAUUUUCCGUAUUUUUGAAACGUUUUCAGUAAUCAUUCAUAAACGUGCAUUUACCAAUCAAAAUUACUGACGAGUGGUUGCAAAGUGAUGUACACUAAAAUUUGUCAUUUAACAUGUUGUUUGUAGUAUGUAUUCCAUUUAUUAAUUGUUCAGAUGUUCUCGACUCAAACAUUUUUGUUUUGGUUGUCAAGGAAAAGUAGAGAAAGGGGG
Molecule: long non-coding RNA, 591 nt
Filed under: Mytilus galloprovincialis (Mediterranean mussel)
Lineage: Eukaryota; Metazoa; Mollusca; Bivalvia; Mytilida; Mytilidae
Source: RNAcentral